Molecule: ribosomal RNA, 472 nt
Filed under: uncultured bacterium
Lineage: Bacteria
Description: partial 16S ribosomal RNA
Rfam family: Bacterial small subunit ribosomal RNA
Source: RNAcentral
AGUGAACGCUGGCGGUAGGCCUAACACAUGCAAGUCGAACGGCAGCACAGUAAGAGCUUGCUCUUACGGGUGGCGAGUGGCGGACGGGUGAGGAAUACAUCGGAAUCUACUUUUUCGUGGGGGAUAACGUAGGGAAACUUACGCUAAUACCGCAUACGACCUACGGGUGAAAGCAGGGGAUCUUCGGACCUUGCGCGAUUGAAUGAGCCGAUGUCGGAUUAGCUAGUUGGCGGGGUAAAGGCCCACCAAGGCGACGAUCCGUAGCUGGUCUGAGAGGAUGAACGGCCACAAUGGGACUGAGAGACGGCCAAGAGGGCUACGGGAGGCAGCGGUGGGGAAUAUUGCACAAUGGGCGCGAGUGUGAGGCAGCGACGCCGGGUUAGGGAUGACGUCCUUCGGGUUGUAAACCGCAUUCAGCAGGGAAGAAGCGAAAGUGACGGUACCUAAAGAAGAAGCACCGGCUAACUACGUG